GUUACAGACAAGAGUAUAUGUAAAUUGGCGUUAGAGACCAGUUGGUGCUAUGGCGUUAGCUGGUACUACGAUAUUGGAGAACACAAAUGCGUUUCUUACACCUGGGGUGGCUGCGGGGGGAACGCCAACAAAUUCGACAGCGAAGAGGCGUGCAGCCUGGCUUGCGAUGGCGUUUAACGUAAGGCGACAAAG
Molecule: long non-coding RNA, 192 nt
Organism: Cydia strobilella
Lineage: Eukaryota; Metazoa; Arthropoda; Insecta; Lepidoptera; Tortricidae
Exons: 3
Source: RefSeq, a predicted model, not a curated record